GUGCGAUCCUGCAGCAAUGCAGGAUAGCGGCAAACGGGUGAGUAACACGUGGGGAACUUGCCCUACAGCCCGGGAUAACAUCGCGAAAGUGGUGCUAAUACCGGACGUCUUCAUUUGGCCGCAUGGCUGAAUGAAGAAAGGUGGCCUCGACCGAAAGGUUGCUACCAUUGUAGGAUGGCCCCGCGUCCCAUCAGCUUGUUGGUAGGGUAACGGCCUACCAAGGCGUAUGACGGGUAGCUGGCCUGAGAGGGUGGUCAGCCACACUGGGACUGAGACACUGCCCAGACUCCUACGGGAGGCUGCAGUCGAGAAUCUUUGGCAAUGGGCGAAAGCCUGACCAUGCGACGCCGCGUGCGGGAUGAAGGCUUUCGGGUCGUAAACCGCUGUCACGAGGAGCGAAAGCUUGUCGGGCAAACAGCCUGAUAGGCUUGACGGUACCUCGAGAGGAAGCCACGGCUAACUCCGUGCCAGCAGCCGCGGUAAGACGGAGGU
RNAcentral lists this ribosomal RNA (492 nucleotides) under uncultured bacterium. Its description in RNAcentral is "bacterial SSU rRNA". It matches the Rfam family "Bacterial small subunit ribosomal RNA", at positions 64 to 532 of the family's 1533-position model. The record is from RNAcentral.